UCUCCGUUGGUGAACCAGCGGAGGGAUCAUUACCGAAGUUACCUUCAACACCCACUGUGAACCUUACCUCUUGCCGCGUUGUCUCGGCGGAAGGCGGUGUGCCUCGCGCGCCCUAGCGGGCCGUGCCGCUCACGUCCCCGCCGGCAGCGCAAAACUCUAAAUUCGUAGCUGACAGUACGUUCUGAAUUACAAAAAAAAAACAAGUUAAAACUUUCAACAACGGAUCUCUUGGUUCUG
RNAcentral lists this unclassified non-coding RNA (237 nucleotides) under plant metagenome. RNAcentral describes it as "partial contains small subunit ribosomal RNA, internal transcribed spacer 1, and 5.8S ribosomal RNA". The record is from RNAcentral.